RNAcentral lists this long non-coding RNA (5141 nucleotides) under Sus scrofa (pig). RNAcentral's name for it is "lncRNA (ENSSSCG00015031098.1)". Lineage: Eukaryota; Metazoa; Chordata; Mammalia; Artiodactyla; Suidae. The record is from RNAcentral.
GUGACUUUGCUGAGCCUUCUGGGCUGUGGUUUAUGCAAGAACCUUCCAAGGACCCGGUUGAGUCACCGGCUGUGAUCAGGCAGCAUCUCCCCGCCUGCAGACCAAGAGCCAGGCAUGAGACGGCAGGAGCGCCGACCUGCAGGUCUGUCUGCAGCAGGACGCACGGCGGCUGACUCAGCGGAGACUUGCCCGGAACCUGGCUGCCAGGUUUCCCACUGCCAACGCUGAGCCGUCCCGAGGAGGAGCAGAGCAGAAGCCUCCAGCAAAGAAUAAAACAACAAGGCCUCUACCAUGCCACCCCUUCUGCCACCAUCGAUUCCACCAGGACAAAGCUAAGAUGUCAUGAGUUCAGAGAGCUCGAAGUGUCGUCAGAAGGAGGCUGCACCCACAGCAGGCAGAAGUUCCUGGGCCAAGAAUCGAACCCACACCACAGCAGCGACCCUAGCCACUGUUGUGACAAUGCCGAAUCCCUAGCCUGCUGGACCACACGGGAACCCCCGAACUGAGAUUUCCUCAUUCAACGCCCUUCCUGUGAUACGGCCUCGCUUAAGGAUGCUGUGUUUGUGUCUCUCAGCUCACUCACUAGAUCCUGGGAAGCGAGACUCCUUUCUAAUUUCCCCUCUGUUUCCCUUGCCCCUGUCAGAGGGGCACGGCCAUGGCAAGGAGCUGAAGAAAGAGCCAGGAGGCAUAGCUGGCACUUACUGAGUGCUCUCUCAGGACCCUGCAUUGUUCCAAGUCUUUCUUAAGUAUGUGAACACCCCUAAGAGACGGGUGCCAUCGUGACGCCUUUUCACAGAUGCGGAGAGAGGACAUUCUCAGAAUGCCCCGGGGGAUACGUGCUCUUAAAACUUUCAACAUGGUGAAGGCCUGGGAGGUGGUGGACCGCGACAAGAACGCUGGGAGUGUGACCAGCACAGGCCCGGAGGCGCCCAGGGCCUCAUCUCUCCGCGUCUGAGCUCCCGGUUUCAUGCUCAGCCAAGGAAUUCGAGCUUCACUUUUAGCGUCAGGGAGAAAACUAAAGAUUGGCUGUAUAAAAGCGUGCCAUUCUCUAAGAGGCUUGCCAUGUUUUCAAGACCUCUUGAGUCGUCGUGACUUCUGCCUCUUGACUUCGAUUCGACUCCGCAAGCAAUAAAACAGUAAAAGCACCUCAUUUCCUGCUCUCCAUGUACUGCAUUAAGGAGGUAUUUCUCCACCAGAGCUGCAGCUCCGAGGACCCUUCUGCCCGCCCGGCCGGGCUGCUCAGCUGGGUCCUCUCUCCAGACUUUCUUGAGGAAGCAGAGAAGCAUCUCAAACCCCAGCUUUUUGGUUCAUUUCUAUGCCAAACAUCUGGGGCUUGAAAAAGAACUGUGCAUGGAGAUAAAGUCACCACCGACUCUGUGGAAAGGAGCAUUAGGCAAAAAAGAAGUCGGACGCAUUAAUUAAAAUGGAAGACUAAAUGAGCUGCAGAAAAGGUCGUGAGCCAGGGUCCCCGUGUGGGAUCUCAUCCCCUUCAGGUUAAUUCUCUCAUCCUUCGGGUUCUUGCUUUUGACCUGCUGAAUUUGCAGACUUAGGAAACAGGACAUACAUGCAAACAAGUUCCGGCAAGCAACAGCUCGCAAACAAGAUGUUGCAGUGAAGGCUCAGAGAGGUCGAGGGACUCACCCACAGCCACACACAGCUCAGACGUGGCCAACAGGGCUGGAACUCAGUUUUCCAGCCCAUCUCAUUCUCUUGCCCCACAGGGCCUCUCAGGGCACAAGUCACUGCCUGACAAUCCAGAUUUAUGUGGACAUGCCUUGCAUUUCUUCAGGGAGCCUCAGCCAGGCCUUCCCUCUUCUGUGAGGUCAGGGGUGUGGCACCUCUUGCAUGUGUGCCCAGGAGCUUACGGAGAAACGUGUCCGGCCACUUUCCCGAGGCUUGACAGAUUUUCCCACAAUGGCGUGAAUGGACAAGAAAAUGCAGCUUUGCUUGACGGCCCCACCCCAGUGCCCCUCUCCUGACUCACAAGUCACCUGGGGUGCCAGCCCAGGAGACCCGGGUCACUGCCACGCCUCGAUGAAAACCUGCUCCCCGUGAGCCUGGCUAACACCCCAGUUAUUCGGCAUUGCUGAGGGGUCACGGACAGUUUAGCUGUUAAAGGUCUGGGUGAUGGGCUGGGGUCAGGGACACGGGCAUGCUGGGCCUUAGGGACCACCAUCCUGAAACAGGGACCGUAAAUCCUGUGCUCACGGUUUGGGGGAGACUAACAGGAGGUGAUCUUCAAUGUGCCGUGUGGAUUCGGGGGACACAACGGUCGGUCCACAGCAGCUGUGUGACACCUGCAGAGCAGCAGUGGGCCUCGCAAGCCCAGGCUGCACAGGAUGAGGGCUGAUCCUGUGGCAACCCGUACUCCAUCCCCCGCACGCCACGCGGCUUGCCCGCAGUGUCCAAGGUCAGGGAAGCGGUCAUGACCGUGAUUCAGCAGGAAGCAGACAAGAGAGCAGAGCCAAAAGGCCUGGGUUCUCCUCUCAGCUCUGACACUAACACUACCGGAUUUAAUAGCAUUUGUCGUCCAGACCCAGGGCGUCACACGCGAGGAGUCACAGGCAGGGAAAAGAAAGCUGCGGUGCUGCAAUCAGUCCAGGCUGAGGCCAUGUUCGCGGGGGUGGAUCCAACAGUUUUACCAUCUGCUCUAAAAGGCCAGCACCUGCCAAGGGGAAACUCCUCCUCUCCAGGCCCUGCCUCCUGAGGUGCUGACAUCCCUAACCCCUUCGGACGUCAGAAGGUGGCCACUCCAGAGCUUAAGCGACUUCACGAGGCCUCAUGGUUAGAAACUUCCAGAGCUGGCAUUUGAUGCCAGGUCUGCUGGAUUCUAAAACACGCCCUCUUCUCACCUAAGACCUUGCAGAGACCUGUCCCCAAGGAAGCUGGACUUGGUCUGCCACUCACUGCUGUUAUAGAAGAAGGACGGAGAGGUGGUUGCCUGUGUGGGCCAUUGCACUGGGAGGGGACAGGGCACAGAAGCUGAGGACUCAGAAGGGAAGUUCUGUCAAGGUAGUGACCCGCCUGUUCAGUUGUAAGGUGCAAGCUUCAUUUUCCGUCUGUGCCCACUCUGCUUUGCGUCUGUUGCCAUGGUUACUUCUAGUAGGGGAUAAAGGAGUCUGGCCACUGUCCGGCUGCUGGGCUGUCCUGAGGUCAUUUUACACCCAGUGUUUUCUCUGUCUUUAUUUUUUUUUUAGCCACACACGUGGCUUAUGGAAGUCUCCAGGACCAGGGAUGAAAUCCGAGUUCAGCUGCAGCCUACACCACAACUGCAGCAAUGCUGGAUCCUUAACCCACGGCACCACAGUGGGAACUCCUACAUUUUCUCUAUCCUUGAAUCGCAGCAAACUUGAACCUUCAGAAUGGCAAUGUCAAGUGUAGACAACGCAUGCUGAACUCCUUCCUGACUUGGGCAAAUAAGGGGGAUCCGAUCAUUUCACAGCAAGGCGGCCUCUGGUCAGCUCUCAUUAAUACCAUUCUCUCAGGGAGGUUUCCUCUGCCAGCAAUGCCCGUCCCCUUUAUAGGAAAAGACUCAGCAGUGGGCUAUAAGGAAAACUCUGACUGAUCAUUAUGCAAAGAUGACUAUUUCUUCACGACACGCGUGUCCGGGAGAGGAGACGGCAGCAGCCUCUCCUGGCGAGGCAGGAAGCAGGCCGCUGCAACCCUGCCUAAUUUCUGUCUGUCGUCUUUGAGGGUAGCUGGCUGGGGUAGGAUGGCCACGUCCGGGCAUAUGCCAUGAAUAGUCUUAGCUGCGGGCAUCGGACCGAGGAUGAGGGCGGUGCCUGUGUGCGCUGUUUGGGACUCAAAGUGUUUCUGCAUCUGUGCAUUUCAGGAGCCCACUAGAAACUUAUUUUCCCUGUGUUGCAAAGAAGAAGUCACGGGGUCGCCGGUAAGUGAGUGCAGCUGAUGCACGCCGCCCGCCUCGGCGCCAGCUCCUGCGCUCCUCAUUUCCAGUCCUAAGGACGACUCGGCGCCUUGGCUAUUUAUUGCCAUCCCCAGCCUUACCCCUGAGGACGCCAAAGCAGAAGAAGGUGAGGAGGCAGCGGCACUGUGGCACUGGAACCCUAUCUACCUGCCAGGGUGUUUUCCUGUGUGGGCGGCGCUGAAGGCUGCACGGUCUCAGGGUUCUCGGGGGACAGGCUUCUGCCUCAGAGAAGCUGAGCAUCUUGGCCAAAGUGACAAAGCCAGCAGUGGACCUUGGUGGGACACCCGUCCUUAGGCUCUGGGGCAUUUUAUUUGCUGCCGAGAUGUCCCUAAAGAAUAGUUCCCUGGGAUGGGUCACAAAAAUCAAUUGAAUGGAAGAAAGUUGCUAAAAGGAAGGAGACGCUCCAGGAAAGUUUUUAUCCAAGGGAUUUGGGACAAAAACAACGGCCUCCAAGAGAAAAGUGGAUGAGGUCUUGUUUCCUAUGGGUCUGGGUACCAGGAAAAUAUUCACAUGGGUGCUUUAUUUACACCAGCAGCCGCCGCCUGCUGGGAACUUGCGGCUUAGAUAAGAGAAGAUUCAGAGCUUCUGAACCCUCCCGGGCUACACAGGUGCAUGUGGGAGGGAUUUAAACUCAAUUUUUCAUCACAAACACUCACUGAAUCAGGUUACUUUUUUUUUUUUUUCUUUUUAGGCUGCCCCCAUGGCAUACGGAGGUUCCCAGCCUAGGGGUCGAAUUGGAGUUGCACCUGCCGGCCUACACCACAGCCACAGUAACAUCAGAGCCGAGCUGCAUCUGCGACUUACACCACAGCUCAUGGCAACGCCAGACCCUUAACCCACUGAGCAAGAGGCCAGGGAUGGAACCCGCAACUUCACAGUUCCUAGUCAGAUUCAUUUCCACUGUACCAGGAUGGGAACUCCGAAUCAGGUUACUUUUAACUGGAAAAAUACUGCAUUCAUCUGGCAAUGCCUGCCUACAGUGAAUACAAAUACGCGGUGAGCAGUGAGAGCUGAAUCACCCAUUGACCUUGAAGGAAAAGACGGCCCCUCUGACUGCAAGCAGCAAAACCGACCUGGAGUGUCAGACUCAGAAGCGCAUUGUGAGAAAGGAGGUGUGGGAUCUGUAUACGGUUUAGCUAGUCACCCGGGGACACCCAGUUGAUUCCUCCUGUGCCAAAGACUCACAUCCAGAAUUAAAAAGGCUUUGUUCAGAAGU